UUGACUUACAUAACAUGAUCGCACGAAAAUAUGGAAAUAGUAACUUAGAUGUACGUUUGACAACUUUUAGGAAAAAUGUAGAUUUUAUUCAUUAAUUUAUUCAAAUUUAAUUAUUUCCUUGAAACAUCGAUACUUUCAGAUUUCUCAUUGAC
Molecule: long non-coding RNA, 152 nt
Organism: Haliotis rubra (blacklip abalone)
Lineage: Eukaryota; Metazoa; Mollusca; Gastropoda; Lepetellida; Haliotidae
Exons: 3
Source: RefSeq, a predicted model, not a curated record